Molecule: ribosomal RNA, 503 nt
Filed under: uncultured bacterium
Lineage: Bacteria
Description: partial 16S ribosomal RNA
Rfam family: Bacterial small subunit ribosomal RNA
Source: RNAcentral
AUUGAACGCUGGCGGCAGGCUUAACACAUGCAAGUCGAGCGGGGUGAUGGUGCUUGCACUAUCACUUAGCGGCGGACGGGUGAGUAAUGCUUAGGAAUCUGCCUAUUAGUGGGGGACAACAUCUCGAAAGGGAUGCUAAUACCGCAUACGUCCUACGGGAGAAAGCAGGGGAUCACUUGUGACCUUGCGCUAAUAGAUGAGCCUAAGUCGGAUUAGCUAGUUGGUGGGGUAAAGGCCUACCAAGGCGACGAUCUGUAGCGGGUCUGAGAGGAUGAUCCGCCACACUGGGACUGAGACAAGGCCCAGACUCCUACGGGAGGCAGCAGUGGGGAAUAUUGGACAAUGGGGGGAACCCUGAUCCAGCCAUGCCGCGUGUGUGAAGAAGGCCUUAUGGUUGUAAAGCACUUUAAGCGAGGAGGAGGCUCUUUUGGUUAAUACCCGAGAUGAGUGGACGUUACUCGCAGAAUAAGCACCGGCUAACUCUGUGCCAGCAGCCGCGGUAA